Molecule: ribosomal RNA, 494 nt
Filed under: uncultured bacterium
Lineage: Bacteria
Description: partial 16S ribosomal RNA
Rfam family: Bacterial small subunit ribosomal RNA
Source: RNAcentral
GACGAACGCUGGCGGCGUGCUUAACACAUGCAAGUCGAACGGUGAAGCGCCUUCCUUUUUGGUGGGUGUGGAUGAGCGGCGAACGGGUGAGUAACACGUUAGUCACCUGCCCCCUUCUUCUUGAUAACCGCAUGAAAGUGUGGCUAAUACGGGAUAUUCUGAGUCUGUUGCAUGAUGGGUCUGGGAAAGUUUUUGUUUCGGUUGGGGAUGGGCUCGCGGCCUAUCAGCUUGUUGGUGGGGUGAUGGCCUACCAAGGCGGUGACGGGUAGCCGGCCUGAGAGGGUCGGCGGCACAAGUGGGACGGAGACGCGGCCCAGACUCCUACGGGAGGCAGCAGGGGGGAAUAUUGCACAAUGGGCGGAAGGCUGAUGCAGCGACGCCGCGGGGGGGAUGGAGGCCGGCGGGUUGUGAACCGCUUUCGCGAGUGAAGCAGGCCUGCCUCGUUUGUGGGUGGGUUGACGGUAGCUGGAGAAGAAGCGCCGGCUAACUACGUG